CGGACUGUUCAACUCACCUGGCAGCCACUCCCAGAGCUCCUGGAACUCUGGCCCUAGGCUCUCUGACUCCUUCUUGGCUUACCGGCUGAAGACUGACACUGCCCGAUCACCUCGGAAGCCCCCUAGACCAUCACGGAUGGCAAGCUUCGGGUAACUCUCACAGAGGAAGACACCAGUUGGAGACAAUUCAGCCUCAUCGUCCCUUGCCAAAGGAUGCAAUGAUUCUUAAGGUUACCCUGUGGUGUGGAGAGAGAAACCGUUUAAGAACAUCUGGUGUAGAAGAUCAGGAAUAUGAAAGAGGCUUCAGGAACAAGGUUUUAUUGGGAAAAUUUAUCAGCCUCUCUACUACAGAUCAAUAAAAACUGACAUUAAAAUCUAACUGGGUUGGGCUUAAUCUGAAGGUUUCUGUGAGACAGAAUCGUGGGUCUUGUCAUCUGCAUGGAGAUUCGCUCAAAUAGAUGAUGGUACAAAAGAAACACCCCUGGCCAGGCGCAGUGGUUCGUGCCUAUAAUCCCAGCAGUUUGGAAGGCCAAGGCCGGCAGGUGGUUUGGGCCCAGGAGUUCAAGACCAGCUUGGACAACAUAAGGAGACCUCAUCUCUACUAAAAAUUAAAAAAAAAAAAAUUAGCUGGGCAUGGUAGCAUGUGCCUGUGGUCCCAGCUACUUGGGAAUCCCAGCUACAUGGGAACUUGAGCCCAAGAGAUUGAGGCUGCAGUGAGCCCUGAUCGCACCACUGCACUCCAGCCUGGGUGACAGGGUGAGACUCUCUGUCUCAAACAAAAAUCAAACAAAAGAAACACUCCAAGAAAAGAGCCAACUCUGGUUUAUGACUCUGUACCCUUAGGUUGAAUGCCAAGUUCAUGGGAAUCAUCCGAGAAGCCGGGACAAGAGCUGCUGUUGAUGGGAGGCUGUGAAUUGUGCUUUUAGUGACUCGCUAAGCAUAGAACACUGACACUCAGGGCACACUGGGUGCUGCAAUUUCCAGAAGGGAAAGGAAAUAAAAAGGGUUCACCUUCUAUGUCUCAAUUUUAUCUCUUAUUAACAGGAACAGCUGGAUAGAGUACACAGAUAUGCUGCUGUGUGAGUCCCUGUGGAAAGGUACCUCCUGGGGAUCACCAGCAGGAAAAGUCCCUCAAACACAGAAAGCUUGGAGGGGACUGAUCCGACAGAGUCAAAGACACUUAGGCUGUUUCAUGUUCAAACAUUAGAGAAUUUUUAUAAAAUCAUAUAGCAGAAUUUAAGAAUUUCUUAGAAAAUAGAUGGGAUAGAUACCAAACACCAAAAUCCGAUCACAUUUAUUAUGACUUUUUCGUGCUUAUUUCUCUCCUCUUUUCACUUACCAGUGAAUAGCCACAUAAUUAUCCUACUAAACCAAUCCAUAAGGCUUCCUGGGAUUCAGCCCAGGGUUUUUAGCUCUAGGAAGCCUUCCUUUCAAUUCUGACAAAGUGGUCAUACCUCUUGGUGUUUUCAUCGCUAUUCAAAUACACAGUAUUGAAAACACAGAUUGAUAUCCUGCCAGCCUCUCAUUUGAUCACCCCAAGGUGAACAGAUUUAUGAGCUGUGACUAUAAGAUAAUGAGGACGCUUUUUAUAAACUCUCUCUUAGAGUGAUACCAACAGGGGCACCAACUAUACUUUGAAUAAUAACCUCAUCUUGAGAAUAAAUG
This 1665-nucleotide long non-coding RNA is filed under the name Homo sapiens (human). Its description in RNAcentral is "HSALNT0160157". The record is from RNAcentral. Lineage: Eukaryota; Metazoa; Chordata; Mammalia; Primates; Hominidae.